GUUGAGUCUGAGCGGCUGCGAUCCACGCUGCAGGGGAAGGAAGCCUCCUACUCUGCAGACAUGGACCGCCUUGUGUCGCAUCAUCUUGAGGAGGCGAACCUCAAGGACACCGCCUUGAGGGCGAAGGAUGAAGCCCUUACCCAGAAGCAAACGCAGCUGGGUAAGGCAUUGGAGUCCGUGUUGGAAUUAUGCCCUAGAGGCAAUAAUAAAUAUAG
Molecule: long non-coding RNA, 215 nt
Filed under: Hordeum vulgare
Lineage: Eukaryota; Viridiplantae; Streptophyta; Magnoliopsida; Poales; Poaceae
Description: long non-coding RNA (HVUL_LNC001389)
Source: RNAcentral